This 973-nucleotide ribosomal RNA is filed under the name Pseudomonas sp. AMF2668. RNAcentral's name for it is "bacterial SSU rRNA". It matches the Rfam family "Bacterial small subunit ribosomal RNA", at positions 52 to 1021 of the family's 1533-position model. The record is from RNAcentral. Lineage: Bacteria; Pseudomonadati; Pseudomonadota; Gammaproteobacteria; Pseudomonadales; Pseudomonadaceae. RNAcentral also lists the same sequence under 1 other name.
UACCAUGCAGUCGAGCGGUAGAGAGCAUCUUGCUUUUCUUGAGAGCGGCGGACGGGUGAGUAAGGCCUAGGAAUCUGCCUAGUAGUGGGGGAUAACGUUCGGAAACGGACGCUAAUACCGCAUACGUCCUACGGGAGAAAGCAGGGGACCUUCGGACCUUGCGCUAUCAGAUGAGCCUAGGUCGGAUUAUCUAGUUGGUGAGGUAAUGGCUCACCAAGGCGACGAUCCGUAACUGGUCUGAGAGGAUGAUCAGUCACACUGGAACUGAGACACGGUCCAGACUCCUACGGGAGGCAGCAGUGGGGAAUAUUGGACAAUGGGCGAAAGCCUGAUCCAGCCAUGCCGCGUGUGUGAAGAAGGUCUUCGGAUUGUAAAGCACUUUAAGUUGGGAGGAAGGGCAGUUACCUAAUACGUGAUUGUUUUGACGUUACCGACAGAAUAAGCACCGGCUAACUCUGUGCCAGCAGCCGCGGUAAUACAGAGGGUGCAAGCGUUAAUCGGAAUUACUGGGCGUAAAGCGCGCGUAGGUGGUUAGUUAAGUUGGAUGUGAAAUCCCCGGGCUCAACCUGGGAACUGCAUUCAAAACUGACAAGCUAGAGUAUGGUAGAGGGUGGUGGAAUUUCCUGUGUAGCGGUGAAAUGCGUAGAUAUAGGAAGGAACACCAGUGGCGAAGGCGACCACCUGGACUGAUACUGACACUGAGGUGCGAAAGCGUGGGGAGCGACAGGAUUAGAUACCCUGGUAGUCCACGCCGUAAACGAUGUCAACUAGCCGUUGGGAGCCUUGAGCUCUUAGUGGCGCAGCUAACGCAUUAAGUUGACCGCCUGGGGAGUACGGCCGCAAGGUUAAAACUCAAAUGAAUUGACGGGGGCCCGCACAAGCGGUGGAGCAUGUGGUUUAAUUCGAUGCAACGCGAAAACCCUUACCAGGCCUUGACAUCCAAUGAACUUUCUAGAGAUAGAUAGAUGCAUCG